CGUCAAAAUUUUCAAUGAUUUUGACCAGUCAAUGUUUCAUUUACGUCGAUUAAAUAGACGAUGACUAAUCCUUUAUGACGUCCAACCAAUUUCAUGAUACUUGGAACGCGAACGAAUUAAGGGAAUUAUUUGGCAUGUUGUUAAACUUCGGACUCUUCAACUUGAGAUAUAUAUAUCACUUUCACGAAAGGAAGGAUGUAACGUUUUUCAAAAGUAAUCAAAAACUAUGGGAUUGUUGGACAUCGCGACUCGACGCGGUGCGUCGUCUGAUUUUGAUAAAACGUAGGCACAUGCACCGAAAAAUGAUGCACUUUAAUUUGAUGGAAUAAGAGCGAGGACUACCUCAUAGUAUGAAGAAUCGGUAAGCACUAAAGAGAAUGAUCAAGAGAAGGUCGUAAGCAGGAAGAGAAUGUCGUCUGGCCGUCUGUGACGUCCUCCGUUGGUUUGUUGAUACGUACGUUCGAUGUUGGUAAAAUAAAAGAAAAAAAAGGAGAAAUCCGAGAGGUAACGAAAACAAGAUUCUUUCUUUUUUGUUUGUUUGCUUUUCUUUUUCUUUUUUCUUUGAACAGAUAAAACACAAGGACUGUGUCCUUUCGAUUCUUCGUUUGCCUUUUCGAAGAUCAGAUUUAAAGGUCACGACUUCGAUAGUCCUUAUUAAUAAUAUUGUUUUUCAAACAAA
Vespa crabro (European hornet) is the source of this 679-nucleotide long non-coding RNA. RefSeq lists it as uncharacterized. Lineage: Eukaryota; Metazoa; Arthropoda; Insecta; Hymenoptera; Vespidae. The record is from RefSeq and is a predicted model, not a curated record. The transcript is spliced from 2 exons.